This 319-nucleotide ribosomal RNA is filed under the name uncultured eukaryote. Its description in RNAcentral is "partial 18S ribosomal RNA". It matches the Rfam family "Eukaryotic small subunit ribosomal RNA", at positions 1470 to 1796 of the family's 1831-position model. The record is from RNAcentral.
CCCUUAGAUGUUCUGGGCAGCACGCGCGCUACAAUGGUCUUCGCAAACGGAUGCAUUCUCGAAGGAGAAUGCCAAUCUUGGAAUCUAUGCCUUGGUCGGGACAGUUGCUUGCAAUUUUUCGACUCGAACCAGGAAUUCCUUGUAAUCGUGAUUCAUCACAUCACGAUGAACACGUCCCUGCCCUUUGUACACACCGCCCGUCGCUCCUACCGAUCGAAGAGUUAGGUGAAUUGUUUUGAUCGAUAAGAUUUGACUAUGGUCAACUCUCGUUGUGAAAUUCUGUGAAUCUGACUGUUUAGAGGAAGGAAAAGUCAUAACA